CAACAAAACAGGUUUGGCAAAGGACUAUUUAUCAAACACAGUCACACAACGAUUAUGAAACCACAUGAUAAGAUAGCACACAAAGAAAACAUUGGCUAUUUAACUACUCAGGAGGAAAAACUAGGUGUUCCUAGUUUUUCCUAGGUGGAAGGGGGAAGCAGGCUAAAAAGCAGUUUUUAGGGUUUCAGAUAUGUAAUUGUGGCAGCAGGCACAGCAUCAGGGUAAAUCUUCCUUUUGACUUCCUCAGAACACCAGUUGAGAUUUAUAGAUCUUGCUUGGACUGCCCUUAAGUACGCUGCUCCAGAGAACUCUGCUCUACAUUGUCAGAAACCAGCUUUCAAGAUAUACUCAGAGAAGAAUCACGAGUGCCAAGAGAGACCAUGAGGCAAACUGCUCUCCAUUGAAGGUAUACCAGCCUACCCUUCGUGAGCUAAACACAACCUCACUCUUGCCAGCAUUGUAACUGACUUUUUAAAUCUAGUAAUCUGCACUUCUUUGAUGCCAUGAAGUCAGUAUUAUUUUCAUGUCUUGGCCAUCUUAAGUUCCUGUUUUGUGAAUAUUCUAUUCCUAUUCCUUGUUAUAAAGGUUUUCAGAGUUAAGACAUGUUAAAUAGAAAUUAUUUUGGAAGGUUCUGUGAUUCAAAAUAUCAAAGAGUAUUGCUGACUAGUUGUUUCAGUGGGACCCUACAGACAGGCAGAACCCUGGGGGAAAUCACCGGAAACUAGGGAUGAGGGCUCAGCUGUAAACACCUGCAACCACAGAACUGAGCAGACCUUCCCAGCAGACCCAUGAAUAGCCUGAAAUUGAGAUUUAUCCCAUACUGCAGGGGUGACACUUAUCCAAUGGCUAGAAUAUUUAUCACUGCUACUCAGAGCACUCUCACUUCAUGAUAUCAGCAUGCCUGGGGAAACAAGUCAAUAAAUUCAAUGUUUGUGUAGCGAGGCCAGAAUCACAGAAGAAACAUGAAAGCUCUUAAGGGAUCUCAGACCUUUGGAUUCAUCUCACAAAUUAUUUCUAUUCUAUAAGGCAUACCUGGUUAGUGAUAAGAAUAACCCACUAGUCAGAAAUUCCACAUGAACAGUGUUGAACAAACACUAUUAAACUCUUAUUUUCUAAAUCCUCUGUUAAUCAGCUAUCAAAAGCAAAUUACCUCAUGCCAGGUACUUUGCAAUAAAAACCAAGCACUUAAGGCCUCUGAUUACUUGGGUUGGAAUUAAAAGUAUUUCAUUCACCUACUUAGGAGUCACUUCUUAGAUUGGACCACUCUCUCCAAAUGGCUCAUGUCAUCUAUCAGGGUCAAUGUUCAAUCCUUUCAAUGUCUUAAGAGUACCCUUUUUGCCUGGCUAAUCCCCAAACUCCAGUGACACCCUAUUUGGAGGCUUUCGUCCCUUUAUGUACCAACUACAGAAGAAAACUAGAGUGGGAGGAAUAAAAGACACUCUCCCAGAUGAGUGUCAUAAUAAAUACCAAAGCUAUUUUUAAUGGGUGUUAACACAAUGUUUGAGAAUUAGUAAAGUAAGCAAGGGCUGCUUUAAAAAGUUGAUCUGGACAUGCACAGGUGGCCCUCCAUAUCCAUGGGUUCUGCAUCCAUGGAAUCAACCAACCAAGUGCAUCACUUGAGGUCAGGAGUUCGAGACCAGUCAGGACAACAUGGUGAAAUCCUGUCUCUACUAAAAAUACAAAAAUUAGCCAGGCUUGGUGGCACAUACCUGUAAUCCCAGCUACUCUGGAGGCUGAGGCAGGAGAAUCACUUGAACCUGGGAAGUGGAGGUUGCAGUGAGCCGAGAUUACAUCACUGCACUCCAGCCUGGGCGACAGAGUGGGAAUCUGUCUCAAAAAAAAAAAAAAAAUUGAGGAAAAAAAUGAAUGGUUGGAUGGUUGUGUACUGAACAUGUACAGACUUUUUUCCUUGUCAUUAUUCCCCAAACAGUGUACUAUAACAACUAUCUACUUAGUAUUUACAUUGAAUUGGGGUAUUUUAAGUCAUAUAGAGAUGAGUUCAAAUAUACAGGAGGAUGUGCAUAGAUUAUAUCCAAAUACUAUACCAUUGGAUAUCAGAAACCUGAGCAUCCUUAGAUUUUGGUAUCUGCAGGGGUCCUGGAACCCACUACCUGGAACCAAUCCCCUGCACGAUACUGAGGGACUACUGAUUUAUAUUGAGGUGGGUGGGGGGUGGGGAGAGAAGAAGGAUGAAUGAUUAAAUAAAAUCUUCAACCCUAAUUUUUUUUUAUCAAUCUUACAUGCUAUCCAAAAUCAUGGUUAAUUUUUUACCAGAACGUCAAUUUUGCUAGUAGCAAAAUAUAGCUAUUAGCUAUAACAUAGCUAAUAUAGAAAAUUACUCCUAGUAUGGAAGCCUACUUGGGACACUAAGUUUCAUGCAGAAGGCUCCAUGAGUUUACAGAAUCUCAAGGAAGAAAGGCCCCUAGAGAUGACACCAGAAAUGAGAGUGGCUUGCUCAUGAAAAUUGGACAGCAUGUUCCAAGCAGAGGGAACAGCAUGGAGAAGAAAAAUCAUACUCUAUCCACGUGCAGAAACUGGCAAUUAGUUUUGUAUUACUAAAACACAAAUGUUUAACUUGGGGGUCCACAAACAAGGAUAUGUUGGCAAAUGGUAUUUGCUGUGCAUGAUGACAACUUGAACUUUCAUCAGGUUUUUUAUGGGUCUAUGAAAUGGGUCAAGGGGACUUAGCUAAGAAUGACUGUGGGUAAAAUGCAUGACAAGGAGGGAUACAGACAGGAGAUGAAUCUCUCAGGGUCCAAGAGACCAGGGUAAGAUGUGCAGAUUCCUUCCUGUGUAUGAUGGAAAUGUUUUACAGGGUCUGAAGGGGGAAGUUUAGAAGGACAGCCUGCUGAAAUGGGGACAGCUUGAAAUGCAGAGCAAGGCAGAAUGCAGACAACACUCCAAGGCAUCUAAGGAGCCAAACAGAGGCAGUGGGAAUAGAACAGAGUGAAUCAGAGACAGGUUAGGAGAGAAAAUGAGCAGCUUCCAUGUUCAUAUUUGCUUGCAUAUGCAUAAAAUGUCACUAGAAGAUUCUCAGUUAACUAACACUGGUUACCUGUGGAUUAGUGAAAUGGGUGACAGGGGAAUGAGGAUGAGAGGGAGUACUUUCACUCUAGAGCCAUGCGUACCUUUUGAACCAUGAGGAUACUACCUAUUCUAAAAAUAAAUUUAAAAAAAGACAUGAAGGUUAUCAGAAUGAGAUGCCUCUAUGUAAAAACCUGCCUAGGUCCCCCUCCAAACCCCCUCUUAUGUUUUAAGUUGCACUUUUGAAUUCAGAUCAUUUUUAUGCCAAAGGCUACCAGACUGUACCAAUGACUGACCCUUGAGAAAGGCCAAUCUUUCUGCUUACUGUGGUGAUAAAUAUAUCAAGCCUAACUUAUCAUGUCGAUGUAAAUAAUGAGUUACCUGGGUAAAUUCAACCAACUUAACAAUUAGGUGUCAAAACAUCAGUAUGAAGAAUUAACUCCAGGAGCUCAAUCUUUUAAAUUUCAUGGUAAAUAAAAGAGGCUCAGAGAAGACUCUGAUUUAUUAAAACAAGGAUAAAUCACAUGAAUCACUGACGCGAAGGUCAGAUUGUCGAUUCACUCUGGUGAGUGUUAUGCUAAGUUAGGCUAGCCCUUCAGCUAAAAAUGACUUUAUUCUAUUGAAACUCCUGUUCAACCUAUAUAGCGUUUAAGGCAGGUACUCCAAAUAUAAUUGACUUAAAUUGAAUGGCUUUAUUAAUUUCAAAUUAGUAAUGAGUGAAUAUAAAUGUAAGAGUUUAAAAAAAAGUUUUGUAAAACUAUGUAACAUUGUUUUCCAUUUGGCUAAGUUCAAAUGUACUAAAUUUGCAAUUCUUGUUCAAAACAUUUAAUGUAACCCAUUAAACUUGUUCAUCAAAAACAUACUGUGUCCAGAG
RNAcentral lists this long non-coding RNA (3898 nucleotides) under Homo sapiens (human). RNAcentral's name for it is "HSALNT0112864". The record is from RNAcentral. Lineage: Eukaryota; Metazoa; Chordata; Mammalia; Primates; Hominidae.